ACCGAUCUCAUUGGCUGGACUAUUGCCAGGGCAGGAAUAAAGACUUUCUUCCUUCUGCUGGGAUAGUAGAGUAAUAUUCAUAUGCAAAGUCUGUGUCUUCCUGCUGGGGUUGCUACUGGCAAUGAGUGGUAGAGCACGAGAGAGAAUUUCCCCUGCUAACUUCCCAACUCCAUUCUAAAUGAGAUUUCCAUGAUUAAUUUUCACAUUCCCCCUUUUGAUCAAGAUCUUCGAAAGCAUUGUGGAUUGACAGUUUGAGAAGGAGGGCAAGGAAGCAACUCAUCUGUGUAUUGUAACUAGAAGAAUCUGCAGACAAUCAUCUAUCAUCCAAAUCAGCCUUUAAGGUAUUUUGCAGAGGCAAACUUAGGAUCCUCAAAACAUCUGGAAGCCUCAAGGUGCCAGGGAAGAGGGCAGCCUUUCUUCCCCCUGCUGGGAUGGAAUCUCCCUGCUAAUUCCCGAGACAGAGCGAAAGUCAUAUUGCAGACCCUAGCCUGCUUCUCAUGUGAGGAUCAAAUGAGAUCACCGUCAAGCUUCAGAUAAGAAUGAGGCCAGGGUUCUGCAAGCCCAGCAGAUGACUUCUUCCAGCAGUUUAAAGGUAGAAAAUCAGAGUGAUGGAGAGUACCAGUGCUGAAGCCAGGCUGCCAAGGUUUGGAACAGAUUUACCCCCUUCAAUCUGAGGCAGCUAAUAUAGCCCUCUAGGCCUCAGUUCUUUGCUGAUUCAUGUUAAAUGCUUAAGACAGAGCUUGAUGUACUCUCUGUGUUUGAAGAAUGCCAUUGCUUUUAGGAUUACAAGUACCAUCACACCAGCCUAUUCUCAGUUCCUGCAUGUGCUGUCAACUCUUAAGACUCUAAACACUCUAAAGCUGCUAACAGUUUCCAUUUCUCCUUCUAAUUUUAUUGAAGAUGGGUCAUGUGUAGGAUAUUGUGUUAAAC
Molecule: long non-coding RNA, 930 nt
Organism: Canis lupus familiaris (dog)
Lineage: Eukaryota; Metazoa; Chordata; Mammalia; Carnivora; Canidae
Exons: 7
Source: RefSeq, a predicted model, not a curated record